RNAcentral lists this ribosomal RNA (616 nucleotides) under uncultured archaeon. RNAcentral describes it as "bacterial SSU rRNA". It matches the Rfam family "Archaeal small subunit ribosomal RNA", at positions 1 to 626 of the family's 1478-position model. The record is from RNAcentral.
CCAGGUUGAUCCUGCCGGACCUGACUGCUAUCGGAUUGGUACUAAGCCAUGCGAGUCGUUGUACAAUACAAGGCGGACUGCUCAGUAACACGUAGUUAACUUAACCUAUGGAUGGGAAUAACCUCGGGAAACUGAGAAUAAUACCCAAUGGGCCACAGUGCCUGGAAUGGCCUGUGGUUGAAAUGAUUUAUCGCCGUAGGAUAGGACUGCGGCCUAUCAGCUUGUUGGUGAGGUAAUGGCCCACCAAGGCUAUAACAGGUACGGGCUCUGAGAGGAGGGGCCCGGAGAUGGGUACUGAGACACGGACCCAGGCCCUAUGGGGCGCAGCAGGCGAGAAACCUUUGCAAUGUGCGAAAGCACGGCAAGGUUAAUCCGAGUGUCUCCUGCUAAAGGAGUCUUUUGUCAGUUGUAGAAUCACUGGUGAAUAAGGGGUGGGCAAGUUCUGGUGACAGCCGCCGCGGUAAAACCAGCACCUCGAGUGGUCAGGAGGUUUAUUGGGCCUAAAGCAUCCGUAGCCGGUUGCAUAAGUUAUCGGUUAAAUCUAUGCGCUUAACGUAUAGGCCGCCGAAAAUACUGUGCAGCUAGGGAGUGCGAGAGGUACACGGUACUCGAUAGC